This 431-nucleotide ribosomal RNA is filed under the name uncultured bacterium. RNAcentral describes it as "partial 16S ribosomal RNA". It matches the Rfam family "Bacterial small subunit ribosomal RNA", at positions 29 to 506 of the family's 1533-position model. The record is from RNAcentral.
ACGAACGCUGGCGGCAUGCCUAACCCCUGCAAGUCGAACGAGACCUUCGGGUCUAGUGGCGCACGGGUGCGUAACGCGUGGGAACCUGCCCUUAGGUUCGGAAUAACUCCCCGAAAGGGGUGCUAAUACCGGAUAAUGUCUUCGGACCAAAGAUUUAUCGCCUUUGGAUGGGCCCGCGUUGGAUUAGCUAGUUGGUAGGGUAAAAGCCUACCAAGGCGACGAUCCAUAGCUGGUCUGAGAGGAUGAUCAGCCACACUGGGACUGAGACACGGCCCAGACUCCUACGGGAGGCAGCAGUGGGGAAUAUUGGACAAUGGGCGAAAGCCUGAUCCAGCAAUGCCGCGUGAGUGAUGAAGGCCUUAGGGUUGUAAAGCUCUUUUACCCGGGAUGAUAAUGACAGUACCGGGAGAAUAAGCUCCGGCUAACUCCGU